This is a long non-coding RNA of Vespula vulgaris, 14379 nucleotides long. RefSeq lists it as uncharacterized. The record is from RefSeq and is a predicted model, not a curated record. The transcript is spliced from 4 exons. Lineage: Eukaryota; Metazoa; Arthropoda; Insecta; Hymenoptera; Vespidae.
CCUCCCCUUCCCCUCCCUCUCCUACCAUUUCCCUCUCUCUUUCUCUCUCCCUUCACGACCGAGGAGGAUCCGCGAUGACGAGCGAGAGAGAGAGAGAGAGAGAGAGAGGGAGAGAUUACGAGUACGACGGAGAAACCUUCCUUCAGGGACGACGAGCUUACUAUUACUCUCCUUACGAGUAUUGUCCCCUCUCUCUCUCUUUCUCUCUCUCUCUCUCUCUCUCUCUCUCUCUCUUUUUCUCUUUUGAAAUUCAUUUGCUUUAAUCGUUGUAAUCGACUCAUUUUAUACCUUACUCUAGAACACGUUCGUGGCUCCUCUAACCGUGGCCUUGCACCCUUCCUUCCCUCCUUCCUUCCUUCCUUCCUUCCUUCCUUUAAGAAACUAGAAAAACAGAGACGAUCAUCGCGACGUAAUAAUCGGAGACACCCCGAGGCUAUUCCGAGCGAGAAUCCUCGCGAUUAACGAUCGAGAUCGCUUUGUACGCCGGUCUAUUUUUAUACGAGUCCCAGAGCUAUUUUUGGCGGUAAAUUUGAAGCCAGAGGAAGACGAUCGUAAUCCGCUUUAUUUAUCCUGGGCCCGUAAAAGCCAAGGACAAACGUCCGUCUCUCUCGUAUCGUCGUACUUACGUACUCCUCCUCCGCGUUCCGCGUACUUCGAACUUCCUUUUUUUUUCUCUUUCUUUUCUUUUUCUUUUUUUCUAUCUUUUUUUCUUUCGUUUCUUUUUUUUUUUUUGUUCGAGGACGAUCAGGGUUUAUAUCCAUUAGAUAGGCGUAAUCUUCCUACGUCAUCCGUCCGUCCUUUUUCCUUAUCGAAAGAGCAAAACUUUUGUCUCGGACUUUGUUCCCAAAUCGUACGAUCGUUUUCGCGAUCGCGUUCGAUGAAUAUCGAAAGAGGACAAGAACUUUUUUGCGACUACGAUCGUCUUCCUUGGAAACUUUCUCUCGCUUUUCUAUCAUUUCUCUCUUCUUACUCUUACUUGUUUUACCAAGCCUGUAAUCAUCGUAAUCUGUCCGUCCAUAUAAAUUUGCUAUAAAAAAGAAAAAAAAAAUAUAUAUAUAGACAGAGAGAGAGAGAGAGAGAGGAGAAACGAAACGAAACGAAACGAAACGUUCUUUCUUACUCCGUGUCUCUCCGUUAGUUGGCCAGCUCGCAAUAACGAGUCAUUACCUAUUUAUGAAUGGGUGUGUACUAUAAGCGCCGAGCAAAUUAGCGUAAUUUCGUUGUAACGCUAUAAAACAUCGCGAGAAACACGAGCGUUAUUUCCAAAGAAUUAAUAGAUCGUUACUCGGAAGAGUUAUCGUCGUUCGCGCUCGGCUUCUCCUUUCUUGCGUUCCAUAUACACAUACGGAUAUGUACAUACGUACAUAGGUAGAUAGAUACUUGGCUAUUCGCGUAAAUACGUCGCGUUUCUUUCAUUAUACGAGUAUAUAUCUAUCCAGCGAGACAGGAAGAAAUUAAAAUUCAUUCGAAGGAUGAUCGUCCAACGACGAUUUCAAAUAGCUUCGUUCCGUCUCUAUUCAUUCCCAGCGCAUCUUCCGUAAAUGUUACAUCGUAGAAUUCGUAGAAGGUGCGUAGAUGGUAUACGGCCAUUAACCGUUCGCGUAUUCGCGAGAGUGGAUAUGCGAGUCGUAUUCGUUGAAUUCCAAUUUCAACCUUCCUCGUUCCACAUACCACACGCUUUGCUUAAACUUAUACUCCUUGUCUCUCUCUGUCUCUCUCUGUCUCUCUCUCUCUGAAUGGGCACGCUCUUGCCUCUCCGUGUGCUACUACGCGAGUAGUAGGGACACUUGAAUGGGAUCACGAUCGUAGAAAGAUCGCGACUGGCUCUACCACCACCCGACUUUGGAAGUAAGGAUCGUUGUCUCUUCGAUAAUAAGAAAUUCCUUUGGAGACGAAGGAGUAGUUGGUUGGUUCGUACUUGAAAAAUGAGAACGAUUACCGAGACGCGCGACCAGCUGCAAAGAGCACACGAGUGUAUCCUUAGGAAAAACUCGCAAGACCGUCUCGGAGGAGUCGACGAUUCCCUCGGCGACUUCCGGUAUCCACGACGAGUAAAAGACGAGGCUGCGCGCUUUGAAAGAGGAACAAGGAUCGCUAACAAGUACUCGGAGUGGUACUUUGCGCGUAGUAGUAGUGUAGUAGUAAUGUAGUAGAACGCGCACAUCUAUACAUACGCACACAUAUAUAUAUAUAUUCAACAUAAGACGCCUAUAGGUUUCUCGUAUUGCGCACGGCUGCCAUGUGACGCGCGCGCUCCGAGUGUGUGCUAUAGCGUGCGGCUGUGAGUGCCUGGCUUCGUCCAUACGUACGUAUGUUUGUUCGUUCGUUCGUUCGUUCGUUCGUUCCUUCGUUCAGGCCGGCUUGCAAGCCGCAGAGAAAGAGAAAGAGAAAGAGAAAGAGAAAGAAAAAGAAAGAGAGAGAAAAAAGAGGAGACGGGAAACGAAAGGUGCUGGCAGCGGUGGUGGGGGUCUUUCUUGGAAUGUCCCGCUGUCUCGGCCGAACGACGGUCCGGCUCCUCCGGAACUCCAACGCGCUGCUGGAACAGCCAUCGGGUUCUUUUAGGGCCGACCGGUUGUCUCUCCCUCUUCCUCUCCGACACCCCACCACGAAUCGGGCUGCGCCGCCGAGAGAGGAGCUCGCACACGUUUACCCCAGGCUUCUCUUACCUGCUUCGUUUGGAAACAGGGUGGAGGAGGAGAUGGUGGAGAGGAGAGGAGAGGAGAGAAGAGAUGGGGUGAGGAGAGGAGAGGAGAGAGGCGAGGAAAGGAGCGAAGAAGAGAAAGAGGAAGGGGAGAGCACACCAGCCAACAGAUCUUUCCUUCUCUCCGUUCGCUUCGUCACGACUCUUACGUUCGCCUUUCAGACCCGUUCUCCGACAUCGUUCUCCGACCCCCUCCCCUCCCUCGGCUGACUCAACGAAGGACGUUCCCUCGAAUUUUAGGACCUUCCUCCCUUCCCUUCCUCCCUCCUUCCUUCCUUCCUUCCUUCCUUCCUCUCGUGUUUACGAAUAGGAUUUCCCGAAUAAACGUUCGGUAGUGCGCUAACCUCCCAAAGGUUAGUACCCUUUCGUUAAGUUUCCCUUUGCACGUCGAAAGAGAGCAUUCGUAUUUUAUUUUAAACUGACACCGAUCGAUCGAUCCUUCAUCGAUAUUUCGUCGAUCACUUUUCCAAGCAUUCUUUAUCUCGCGAAUCUCGUAUUUCUCGAUCGGCACGGAUAAACCGUUCGCGAUAUCUCUUUUGUCGAACGUUUAGUCGUCGCCUCGCGAUUGAACAUCUCGCGUAUGCACUCGGUGUAUACGGCCCUGUCCCGCCGCCCUGACGAUCAACGAGGCCUUCCGCCUGCUUCCCCCACCCCUCGGCACGCGGCUUCUCCACAUCAGCGUGCUCCGUAUCUCGUACUAUUCUCCGCUACGUCCCUCUAACCCCACUUCCUUUCUCUCUCUCUCGUACUUUUGGAUCGGUAGGAGUCUCUCCUUCUCCUUCUCUUUCUCCUCCUCAUUUUUCCCGCUCCCAAGCUCGUUCUACCUCCGUCCUUAUCCGUAUCUCGGCACUUCUCGCGUCCUUUACCGCCUAUCUCUUGGUUACAUAUAUAGACAGACGGAUUUGCACGGCGCCGUGUCGUCGAACGCUCCUGUAUCUCGAAGGAGACACGUCACCGCUUCGGGUCGGUUCGACACAUACGGAAAGAGAGAGAGAGAGAGUAUGUGCGUGUGCGCGUGCGCGCGUGCUAACGCUAUCAAUAAUGCAUAUUGUAUAUAUUUCUUUUUGUCUUUUCGAACAACAAAGUCACGUAGAAAGCGAGGAAUUUAAAUUCGCGGUCAUUGCAUUAACUACUUCAACUUCUUCUUCUCUUUUUACCACUUCUACUUCUAUUUCUAUUUCUACUUCUUUCUCUCCCCCCCCCUCUCUCUCUGUCUCUGUCUCUGUCCGUCUGUCUCUUUCUCUCUCUCUCCAUUUUCGAAAGUUCGACGCGAUUUUUUCCGUCUCUUUUUUUUCUUUUCAGCUAUCGCCAAGUUCAUUUCGAAGCGCGUUAAGAUCGUACGAUCUAAAGAAAGGGAGAAGGAGGAGAGGCAACGUUCUCGAUAACUCCGAUAUUAAUUCCGCGCUUCUCGACUUUAUCGUCGAGCAAAAUCGUUACGACGACGACGACGAAGACGACGAAGACGACUUCUCGGUGUUAUUUAACGCGAAAGUUUCGCAAUCCUGCGAGUCGCUUCGUCGACUAGAUCGACAACAUCGUGCCGAGUUCCAGUCAUUCGAAAAGAUGGAGGAAGGAAAAGAUCGAGAUGAUCAAUAGGCUCGUCGUAAUCGUCGUAAUCGUCGUAAUCGUCGUCGUCGUCGUUGUCGUCGUAUCACGGGACCGUGACAGCUGUACGAUGGAGUCCCUGAGAACUCGAGGAAAGUGGAAACGUAAUUCCGACAUAACUUUCUCGGAAUGCUUUUAUUAAAACUGUAAAAGCUUGGAAUUCGACGCUGUAAAAGUCGACUGGUUUAGUUGCGAUAGAAACAGAGAAAUUUUCUUUUCUCCAUCUGCUUAUGUAAAGAGGAAUGAAUAGUAGCGUUUGAGGAGAGAGAGAGGGGGUAGCAGGAGGGAGGGGAAGAAAGGAGAUAGAUAAAGAUGGAAACAUCGAAACUCGUUGGUAAUAACGAAGCCGAUGAUCGUACCUGCGCUGACCAUGUCGACAAAUCCAAGGAAAGGUGUAAGAAGGGCCAAGUCUCUCGGUAGAAGAGAUGCAUGAGGAGGCAACGCGUUGCAAGCAGGUACGUAGUACGUCGACGUAGAGAAAGAAAGAGAGGGGGAAAGAGAGAGAGAGAGAGAGAGAGAGAGAGACAGACAGAAGGUUCCUAUCGUGUAACCGCGUGCCACGAGGAGCGAGCACCUGUUGGCUGCUCGUGUACAGCUUUUACAGGGAAUUCCUUGGUCUCUCUGUGCUCGCGCGCACCAUCGGACUUUCGACCAAGAAACGAAACGUGUUCUUUGCUUCGCCUUGGAACGGAUAUUUCAUUGCAUUCGACGUGACACAUGUAGGUAGAUAAAAGAUUCCGGGUGUCUUGUAUUCUGGCACGACAAAAGCACACGAACGUCUUUGGGAAAGUAUCCUUAGAACCCUUUUUAUCCGGCUAUUACGUUUCUGCAGGUAGAAGCUCCGCUAGCCUUUCAAAAUGGCAACGAGCCCUGCGAAAUGGUGUAUCUGUGGUGGAAAGACAAAAAAAUGGAGCACCGCUCCAAAUUUGUAAGUCCACAGCUUCCGGCCGUACGUACAUAAGACGACAACGACGAAGAGUGGCCGAAGAAGAGGAGAUCGACGAAGAGGAUGAACACCGCCAGAGCUUCCCAAAAUAAGGCUCGUGAGAAUCAGGGAAUUCCACUCCCACGUUUCUACGGUAGAACGCUAUGUGUCGAGAUGGAACGCGAUGCCGUGGAACUCUGCCAAAGUGACGUCAAAAUUGCCUUGAGUGCACUUCUUCAUCGCUUAUCCCUCUUUCUCUCUAUUUCUCCCUAUUCCUUCUUCACCCAACCACCCCCACACAUCUCACCCCUUCCCACCUUUCGAUCUCUACGCGUUUUCCUUUUCAUUUUAUUCCAUUUGUUUCUUUUUUCUUUCUUUCUCUUUCUCUUUCUCUUUCUUUCUUUCUUUCCUUCUUUCGUGAAUUUUAUUACUUUUAUUUUUCUUCUCUUUUUUUUUUAUUUAUUUAUUUUUCUUUUUUUUUUACUUUUUCCCUUUGUAUCCUCUUUUUAAAUCUUCUUUCAUUCUUCCCCAAUUUUUGUUUUCGGAAAUAGAAAUAUGGAUUUCGUUAUAUAGACGUAUUGGACAUUUAGAAAAAACGAUGUAGCUUAAUUAACUUAUUAAAGAAGGCUUUCAUUCAUUCCUUCGUUUAUACGUCGAACCUCUUGAAAAGAAAACUUUAAGGAUUGUAUUAUACCUAUAUAAAAUAUGACAAAUAAGAUUUUCAAUAAUCCGUCCUCGCGAGUUCAUCCGUUUGGACGAGAAAGAAAUUCGUUGAUUUAUUUUGACAUUUCGAUACGUGAAAUUCGAGUUUGUAGAUUCGGAGGAGAGAAAAAAGAAGAGAAAAAUAAAGAAAUGAAAAGAAGAAAAAGAGGGAGAGAAAAAAAAGGUAGAAUCUGGUGCUUAACGUGCUUGAUGUCAUGCAUUACUCAUUAAAAGAAGGCAUUGGAACAGGUCCGCCGGAGAUGUGCAUUACUCACUAAUGUCAUAAAUGCAAAGUAGAGACGGUCUUCCACGCACGGACACGUGUUUCCUUCUUGUUAUUCCUGGCACUUCGGAGAACACUCGAGAACCGUGAUGUCCUGACGUAUCUUUUUUCUUCUUUUCUCUGUCUCUCUCUCUCUCCCACCUCCCUCGAUCCCUCUUCUUUCUUCUCGAACACGUCACGGAUGGCCGAAGCUUCGCUCUCGAGUUGCCUCUUCGUAUCGAUCGCUAUCGCUAUUGGUGUGAGUUCUGUCGUGGGUGGAAGGAUCGAAGUAACGGUCGUAAUAAAUCGGUUCGUUAACACAGCAAAGUCCUUUGGAAUGCCCAAGAGAUUCUCUUUCUCUCUUAUUGCCAACAACGAUUUGUUAAGAAAAACGAUCCUAUUAAUAUUUCCUAAGUGUUUAAUUCACUUUUUAUCCUUUUCUUUUUCCUUCUUCGCUUUUUUGUCGUGUUGUUGUUGUUGUUGUUGUCGUUUCUUCUUGCUUUUUUUCUUUUCUUUCUUCUUCGUUGUUUUCGUUUUUCUUUCGAUGCAUUUUAUCGUUUGGGAACGUACACUUGUCGGAUGCAAUUUAUGUAGUCGUCGGUUUUCCUGCUUAUUUAUUAUUUUUCUUUUCUUUUUCCUUUUCUUUUGAUAUAUAGAUCGCGAAUAGGAAAGAGAACCGUUCAGGUUUCUUGCAAAAUCGUUGAUCGUUGAAACUUAUGUAGGUCUUUCGUGAUUACCUCGAACGAUCUCAGUGUCGUAAUAACGUAAGUACGGGUAAGUAGUUACUUCCGUCUAUCGUACGCAAAUAUCGUAUGGGGCGGUAUAGUACAAAGGACUUGGUAAGAGCACCACCGAGUCGAAGAAGAGAUCGUUCUAGGAAAUUCUCUUCUUCCUCGUAUCGACCCGUUAUUCGAUCCAGCUUUUACGAAUUCUCUGGUAUCCGAUAUCCAUCUUCCUGGAUUUGGUCUUUGACGAAGAGCUUGGUAAUGGCACGUCGAAUUUUUUUUAGACAAAGAGACAAGAUUAUAGACGGAAAAGAUUAUAGUCGUAGGAAUCGUGUAUGUGUGUGUCUCUAUGUAUAAAUGUAUAUAUAUAUAUAUAUGUAUGUAUGUAUGUAUGUAUAAAAAUAAAAGAAAAAAAAAAAGGCGUCGUCGAUGAUAAAUUAUCCUGUAAGGCGAGGAAUCUAAUAGCAUCGAGGGAAUUUCUUGUUAACCAGGAACACCAUAUGAUAUUGAUAGUAGUGAAUCACCGUCGAGCGCUCUUCGUUUCGUUUACAUCGUAUCUCAUUAAGAACGUAGUAGUAGUGUGUCUUACGAAAUUAUGUUUACCACUUAUCGAUGAUGAAAUCCUCUUUUUUUAUUCUAUAUUCUAGUUGCAUUUGCGCGACACGUUUUUCUCGAAUAACUACGUCGUAAUAGGCGUUAAUAUAUUUCUACGCAUCGACAAAGGAAUCUCUGUGAUUCCUCCAUCAUCUUUCGUAUUCGUUCGUGAUCGAAUAAUAAAUAAAUAAAUCAGUGAUUUGAGUUUGUGCAUUAUUGUCGUAUUCUAUUUUCGUAUAAGGAUACGUUGAUGCUGGAAAUCGAAGGAGCAUGAGAGAAAGAGAGAGAGAAAAAGAUGCUCCUCGCUAUAUAUCCUUAGGCGGUGAAUCACGUGAAGAUUCAAGCGGAGCUCCUUGCAGGUUGGAAGGAAAAGGAAAAAGAAAAAUCUCGCUCGCAACGGAUUCUAAUGACCUCACCGUGCAGAAACGGCCGGUUCUACGUGUGCCUUUCCAAGAAAAGAUACGUCAUCUACGAGAAAGUGUGAAUCCUGCUAAAUACCGCGUCGUCGCUUGCAAAUAUCUAACAAAGUUAUCUAUAUACGUACGUAUAUGUAUCUAAUUGCAAGUAAGUACUCGUGUACUUGCCAUUCCCGUCAUCCCGUCCACUCUAUUAUUUUCAAAGAUGUUUCCUAUCGUCAUAAAUAGACGUCGAAACGUAAUCGACUAUUUAUUAGAUAUUUUAUCCGUAUGUGCGCGCGCGUAUGUAUUUUGUCUUUUAUAAUUAAUACAACGAGCAUAUCCAUCGAUUGACGUAAAUCGCGAACGACAUCGAUUUCUUAAUUGGUAAUUAAGAACUAACGCGACGAAACGACGCGUGAAAAUGAUUUAUUCCACAAGUUAGACCACCGAUCGCAACAUAAUCGCUUAACUCUGGCUUCGACUUCGAUCAAAACUAAUCGACGUCAAAGUCGAUCGUUCCAAAUCGUAGGUGGUUUAUAUUCGUGGUACAUAAAUUGUAAUAAACGUCUUUGGAUUUUUGGCAGAACGACAAACACGCGAUAGCCGAGUUUUCAUUUCCGCGAAAUCGUAAAACGUUUUCGUACCAACACAAUUUCGAUGAUUUGAUCGAAAUAUGGAAGAUCGAGAGAGGUCUUCGAUGUUUCUGUGUUUUCAAUUGUACAUAGAAUAUAUUGUUGUAUUUAUAGCGCCAGGUGGAAGAGCUUAUUACAUAUAUAUUUCUUUUUCUUUCUUUUCUUUUUCGAACAAAAUGAUUGAUUUAUAAUAUACUGAGAGAAUGAUAUACAAGAGAAAGAGAGAGAGAGAGAGAGAGAGAGAGCUUACAGAAGCAUGUAACUAUCUCCUAUGAAUUACAUAGAAAAGAUUAAUAGGUUUCAUUCCAUCGUUAUAUAUAAUUACAGCUUGGCCAGUUAGUUGAAGAAGGAUCAGUGCCGAGGGAUAUGAUAAAUAUUUUCUACGAAUCGUUUCUCCGACAGAUGCAACAGUGACUAAGUCACUGAAAAUAAUUUCUAACGGAGCACCGACUGCGUAGUUAGAAAGCAGCCGAAUAUGGCGGACUAAUUUUUGUACGAAUGAAACGCGACAUGCAAGCACGAAUCCAAGAAACCUGCAUACGCACAGAUGUAUUUGUUUCCGGAGAUAGAGCUCUUCCAAGAAACGUCAUGCUCUUUCAAUCUCUCUCUCUCUCUCUCUGUCUCUCUGUUUCUUUUUGUCUCUCUCUGUCUCUCUUUUUCUCUCUCUUUUUUUUUUCGAAGGAAGGUGUGGAUUCUCGUAGAUAUAAAUCGUCGAUGACUCUUCUCAGAAUUUUAACCACAAUUUCUAGAAAGUGUUCCUAUUUUAAAAUAUCGCGAACGAUCUUACGCUUGCGAUUUUUAUCUUAUACACAUAUAUUUUAUUAUUUUUUGAAUUGUUUGACACGUUUCUCGAAAGCAAAAACGAAUGGACAAAUCCGACUGAAAGAAGACAUCCAUCUUUUCGCUUGUAAUUCUACUAAUCUUCUAGUAAAUAUCUAAUCGUCUCGGUGCCAAACGUGUACCUCGCCAAGAGCGUUACUUGGCAUAAAUUUAUUCCGUUUAAACGUUACGACCAUUACGGCGUACUCGAACGAACGUUCAUAAUGAAUGGUAGACUACAAGCAAUAUAUAAUAAAUUUGCAUUUUUAUCAAAAGGAAAAAAAAAAAGAAAAGAAAAGAAAGAAAAAAUUACGAGAAUCAUUGUCGAGAUAUUUUGUUCGAAAGAAAGAAAAAUUAUGCUAUUUAAAUAAAUUUCGAUUCGUUCGCGAAUACGCGAAUUCAUUACCAGUAUUCGAUUUUUCUGUCUUCUCAGAGGCAAUAAAAUUCAAAGAGUUAAACGAGUUUUCCGAUAUCAAUACGUACCAUCGACAUUUGCGAGAGUGUGUUAGAGAAAGGGAUACCAUAUUCGUUCCGGAUGGUUUUGUUCGGGAGGAAAACUUUCCGAGUAGAGAUACUUGCCUACUUACUCACUUCUAAAAGACUUUGUACCGAAAAGGAAAGUAUUCCGAAUCAGGAAAGACAAAAUUUCUAGUCGGGAGAAUUCGACAAAUAAUAAUUCGUUAAUUUUGUCACCUUGUACAUAAGUUUAUUCGACGCAUUAUAAUUUCGAAGAAUAGUUUAUCGAGAAGAAGAACACGAUAUAAUCGAUAAAUUUAUCAUUUCUUACGAAAUAGUUAAUUUCUCAAAGGGGAGCUUGAUUUUUCGAAAGAGAACGAACAGUAUCUUCUCUUCGAAUGAUCUUUCUCUUCGCGUAUUAGCCUCGUCGUUGUUAGAGUCUCCUCUUCGUUAGAUACUUAGCGAAUAGACUGAAAUCGAGUUUAGAAAAUUGGAUAAAAAAAGAUGGAGAGGGAGAAAGUUUCGAAAGGUUCACCUCCCCCAAGGUUUGACUUUCGUGUUCUCUUUUUACGUGACCCUUUUCGAAACUUUCCUUUCUAUCCUAGUUUUAUUUAUACGUUCUUUUUUUUUCAGAUUGUGUAAAAGUGUAAGAUUGCUAAAAGAAACACGUAAGAGUUUAUCUCGUUAGCCGUCCCUACGCCAUACAUCGAAUAUCGUUACAUUUAUCUUGGUGCGAAUUGAACGAAGAAAAAAGAACGAAAGAAAGAAAGGAAGGAAGAAAGAAAAAGAGAGAGAGAGAGAGAGAGAGAGAAACGCGUUCGUUGGCCUCAGGAUUUUGACACGAUAUCUCUUAUGGGGGCUACUCUCGCACACCGUGGGCGAAGUAAAUCCAGUUUGUUAGGAGGCUCCCUUCGCGACGCGAAUAAACGCUCGGAAUUCCUUUCGAUAGCGAGUUAUCGUUCCUAUCGAUCGUGCUGUCACGUUCGAGAUCAUUUCGGAACCGGAUACCAGUUCGUUUACAUCUCGCGUAUCACCGAGUAAUUUACUAUGGGGAUUAUAUUCUUCUCUUUUAUUCGAGAAGAGAGAGAGAGAGAGAGAGAGAGAGAGAUGGAGGGAGAGGGAGAGAGAGUAUCGUUCACUUCGCCGGUAAUUUCAUUUUACGAGGAAAAUAGAGAAGCUGGAGAAGAGAGAUAGAGAGAAAGAUAGAAAAGAGAGAGAGAGAGAGAGAGAGAGAAAAUGAAUGGUGAAAAAGAAAAUUGCUAAUAGAAGAAUCGAAUUUCGUCGAAAUUUAAUCGUCAGGAAAUUUUCCUGAAAAAAGUUUACGCAUAUAGAAAUAAAUUUUAAUUGUCAAAUCUUUUUUUCGACACGUCGAAGGUUUUUCCUACGUUUAUAACGAUUGGAUUUUACGGAUUAAAAACUUUUUACGUACAUCUUUUUUUUACGUAAAUUUGCGGUAAAUUCUGACGUACGUAUGUGGUGUAUGUACGUUCGCUCGCUCGCUCUUGCGUUUGCGUUGCUUCCACGUUCGUGAAUACAUGAAGACGUAGGAGAUAUCAGAUCGACGAUUAGUCGUCUACUUGCCUUUGUAAGACACGACGAUUUACAGUUAGAAUUUGCAGUUAUGCAGUAGGCCGACUUCAUCAAUCGACAAUCCUGCGUCUCGUAAACGUUUUCUAAGAGUUUUUCCAAAGAUCCGUCUGGUAUCGAUUCUAACAAACGAUUUAAGUAAAAAAAAUUGACAUUAGCAAUAUCGUGACGUUUAGAAUUCACGUUAAUGAUUUCCAUUCGCGAUUAGAUUUUCCUAAAAUUUCGAUAUUACCGAUGAUAGACGAACGAACAAGGAAAUUAUUUUCCUUUCUGCACGCGUCAACGUUCAUCUCUAUUCUAUAUUUUUUAUUAUCGAAUAAAUUGAUUAAUAGGAAAUAUGAUUAGCUAUCUGUCAUUGUAUCGACACUUUUCUUUUCCUUUCUUUUUUAUUUAUUUAUAUUUAUUCCUUAUCAAAUUCUCUUUCAUCGAUUAUAUUUCAAUAUUUCAUUAAUAUUUGUACGUCGAGUAUCGUCGAUACUAGAAAAAAAUAGAAAAAGAAGAAAAAAAAAAAGACAGGAAGACAAAAAAAUAAUUCGCAUGGAAAUCUCGAGGCUCGGCAUUCGAUCUGCGUCGUUUGUCUCGUUAAAACGCGGCUUUUUUUUACGUGAAAAAAAGAAAUGAAAAAAAACAGUAAAAAAGACACGAAUGCACAUGCACGAUGCAUUGCAUGGUUCGUUACGAUUUCGCUUAUUACGUUCGUUUUGUUUCUUUUUUUUGCGUUAACUCUGCGUUAAAAAAGUCGUGAGAAUAGAUAUUAAAUAUUGUUUAUUAAAAAACAACAUGUCGAGAUGUAAAUAAUAUUCCUCUUCGAUUUCUUUUGUAAUGUCUCAAUGCAUUUAGGUAUGUAACUAUAUAUAUGUAUAUACUAUAUAUUUCUACAUAUAUUGUAUGUAUGUAGAACAUAUCUACAUAUAUACGAUAUAUUAUAUAUGUACAUAUAUAUAUAUUUUUUGGAGAAACGAUCAAAAUAAAUCAUAAUAAUUCAUCCGCCGAACCGCGAAUGGCGCUGACUAAUCGCGCGUUUCUCGUGAAAGUUGCGUUUUUUUCUUAUUAUCGAACGUUUCUCUACAAGCCAUGCGCAACUCAUGAGAUCGCUAUGUCUUCGCAUAAUCGUGAUACAUUACGAUCGGGUACGUAACUAAGUAUUUACACACACCGUACAGAACGAACGAACACGCCUACAUAUUAGACUUCACGCGCGGGUUGUCGAUUAUUUUAUUUCUUUUUUUUUUCUCUCUUUUUUUUUCUCUUUAUUUUUUUAAAAGCUACGUCGUUAAUACGGAUCGUAUAAGUAAGACACACCUAGAGAUCAAUUGCAAACUGCUAUGAUUUAAAAUUUCUGUCUGUUCGAUUGAAUAGUUUAGAUCUAUUCGAUUUUUUGAUCGAGAUUUCUUUCUUUCUUUCUUUCUUCUUCAGUUUUUACCUUUUUUUUUUUUCUUUUUUCAUUAGCUUUCUACCCACGCGUUUACGAUACAUUUUUGAUGUAUAUGUAUAUAUAUAUAUGUGUGUGUAUAUACACAUAUAUAUCGUUAGUACACAUGUUUACGUAUUACAUGUAAUUCAUGUAAAUUGUCGUAUGACUCGACAAGUCUAUUAAUCGUUAUGACCAUGUCUUUCUUUGAUGAUCAAUUUCUGGGAAGUACCUGGCUAGUUGUUUGAUAAAAACAUCGUUUCAAGGCAAACAAUGUCCUUAACGGACAUCGAUGCAACUAUUAUAGACGGAACUAUUAUAUGCAUGUAUAUAAAUUUGAUUGAAAAGAUUGGCGAUGAGAGAAGGAAAUCUCGCACGUUAAAUCUAACGAGUAUAAUAAUAAUAAUAAUAAUAAUAAUAAUAAUAAUAAUAAUAAUAAUAAUAAUAAUAAUAGUAAUAAUACACGAGUAUGACAAUUAACAAUAAUUAUAGACGAGUUUAUUGAAAGGAUAUAGAAUAGCAAAUUUCUAACGAAACGUAAACGCCUAUCAAUCGAUGUUCAAUGAGAUUCGUAUUCUUUGUUCGUGAUUACGCAACAAUUCAGUUGCAGUCACCUUGUCUCGUUUGCUUAGCGAAAGCAAAAUCGUUAAUGUCGAUGGAAAUUACGUGGGUUUCUUGAAAAAAAAAAAAAAAGAAGAUAUUCUGUCGAGUCGUGUAUCGAAUUUUCUUCGUUUCUCCUUGAAAAAAGAAAAGAGAUAAUUACGAUCGAUUCGAGUGUGUCGUAGGUUUUUUUUCCGAUUUGAAAGAAAUAUGUAAACGUGUUUUUUUUUCUGCUCCUCUUUUUUUCUUUUCUUUUUUUCUUCUUCAGAAAGAAUUAAAAAAAAAAAAAAAAAACAAAAGGAGGAGAAAAAAAAACAGAGACAAAUAUUUACAGACUAAUCUUAGCUUAGAAAGGUUGCAAGGCAAGAUUCGAGCCAACUCGGAGGUAGGGAAUCGUCCUUUGUGCAUUCCAGGCAAGGUUGCUAUAGCGUGUACUUUCUUGCAGCAAUGUAACGUUCUAUGUAUGCGUGAACGUGUUUGCGAUAAAGCGAAUGCCAUCACGACGACCAGUCUCUAUGGUAUCGUGUUUGAUAUAAGGCGGCGACCGAGCGAGCCUCGAUUUAUAUUCAUUUGAUCGCAACUAGGUGUGUUGCCAGUUAGUUACACGGUUACCGACAAACUUGGUUCUUUUGGUUCUUGCCGUAUUGAAAAUUACCUUUCAAAGAAAUAAUCAUAAAGUUGCGGAUGGUUUCUUCGGUAAAGGAGGUUAGCCACCCCUUGGUGACGUGGUCUCAUCGAUUUCUUUCUUCCGUAUUUUCCACUCGUCGACUCGGCUUAGGGUGGCGAAAGGGGAACAAAAGAGAGAUAGAGAGAGAGAGAGAGAGAGAGAGACAAAGCGUAUAAAAAAUAGCUGACCAAUGGUAAAAGUUUUUACGACAAAUUUCACUCGUCGUAAUCAAUUAUUUUUAUUAUUGGACUCGAUCGGGGAUCGCAAGAAUUAUUAAAAGCAUGAUUUUAUUUUU